RNAcentral lists this microRNA (21 nucleotides) under Medicago truncatula (barrel medic). RNAcentral's name for it is "mtr-miR2652c". Lineage: Eukaryota; Viridiplantae; Streptophyta; Magnoliopsida; Fabales; Fabaceae. The record is from miRBase by way of RNAcentral.
UAUGCAGGGUGCAUAAGGAUU